GGAGGGACAGCACCUCAUAGCUUACAGCCCAAUGACAUGAACAUUGAAUUAUCCCAAUUAAACGGUCAUCCCCCCUCUCCCUCAUGGGCCAACUCUUCGUCAUUCCUCUGUCUUCUUCUCGCUGGCGAAAGGCGUCAGGAUUAAUCCAAGUCACCGCUUCCCGUAUUUUAAGAUCGCCCGUGAGGAGCUCCAACCUCGGGGCCUGUGGACGCCGGAGUUUCCGUCGACCCGAUACGACGGCUUCGGACAUCGGAGCGUCAGCAGCGGCGACUGCGGAGGGUUCAACAGCCCCGACCACGGGUGAACAAACGAGGAAGAUGAUUGAACUUUAUUACCUUCCAUCACAGUGAGGAAUGUGGAUUCCACUGUGGUGGAUGUUUCUGUUACAUUUUUAUUUUAUUUGGCUGUGUGUCUUGUUGCUUUUUACUUAGUAUGGCUGUAUGGGAACUCAAAUAUCACUGUACCUUAAUUGGCACAUGUGACAGUAAAUUUGUACUUGAAACGCUUUCCUCUACAUCUGUAUCUAUCUAUUUCCAUAAUUAUAAAACUCUGAUCUUGGA
Molecule: long non-coding RNA, 560 nt
Organism: Amblyraja radiata (thorny skate)
Lineage: Eukaryota; Metazoa; Chordata; Chondrichthyes; Rajiformes; Rajidae
Exons: 2
Source: RefSeq, a predicted model, not a curated record